UACGUACUGCGCGAACGUUAUUCGGAAUCACUGGGCUUAAAGGGUGCGUAGGCGGCUUGUCAAGCCCGUGGUGAAAGGUCCCGGCCUAACCGGGGACGUGCUUCGGGGACUGACGAGCUUGGGCGAGCUAGGGGUCUGUGGAACUCCCGGUGGAGCGGUGAAAUGUGUUGAGAUCGGGAGGAACGCCGGUGGCGAAAGCGACAGACUGGGGCUUGGCCGACGCUCAUGCACGAAAGCCAGGGGAGCGAAC
This 250-nucleotide ribosomal RNA is filed under the name uncultured bacterium. Its description in RNAcentral is "partial 16S ribosomal RNA". It matches the Rfam family "Bacterial small subunit ribosomal RNA", at positions 524 to 773 of the family's 1533-position model. The record is from RNAcentral.